RNAcentral lists this small RNA (125 nucleotides) under Marmota monax (woodchuck). Lineage: Eukaryota; Metazoa; Chordata; Mammalia; Rodentia; Sciuridae. The record is from RNAcentral.
GUCAGGCAUGGUGGUGCAUGCCUGUAAUCUCAGCAACUUAAGAGGCUGAGGCAGGAGGAUCACAAGUUCAAGGCCAGCAUCAGCAACUUCAUGAGUCCCUAAGCAACUUAGUGAUCCUGUCUCAA